UGGGGAAUAUUGCACAAUGGGCGCAAGCCUGAUGCAGCCAUGCCGCGUGUGUGAAGAAGGCCUUCGGGUUGUAAAGCACUUUCAGCGAGGAGGAAGGUGGUGAACUUAAUACGUUCAUCAAUUGACGUUACUCGCAGAAGAAGCACCGGCUAACUCCGUGCCAGCAGCCGCGGUAAUACGGAGGGUGCAAGCGUUAAUCGGAAUUACUGGGCGUAAAGCGCACGCAGGCGGUUUGUUAAGUCAGAUGUGAAAUCCCCGGGCUCAACCUGGGAACUGCAUUUGAAACUGGCAAGCUAGAGUCUCGUAGAGGGGGGUAGAAUUCCAGGUGUAGCGGUGAAAUGCGUAGAGAUCUGGAGGAAUACCGGUGGCGAAGGCGGCCCCCUGGACGAAGACUGACGCUCAGGUGCGAAAGCGUGGGGAGCAAACAGGGUUAGAUACCCUGGUAGUCCAGCGCUGUAAACGAUGUCGAUUUUGGAGGUUGUGCCCUUGAGGCGUGGCUUCCGGAGCUAACGCGUUAAAUCGACCGCCUGGGGAGUACGGCCGCAAGGUUAAAACUCAAAUGAAUUGACGGGGUCAUAGCUG
RNAcentral lists this ribosomal RNA (582 nucleotides) under uncultured bacterium. Its description in RNAcentral is "partial 16S ribosomal RNA". It matches the Rfam family "Bacterial small subunit ribosomal RNA", at positions 355 to 932 of the family's 1533-position model. The record is from RNAcentral.